GACGAACGCUGGCGGCGUGCUUAACACAUGCAAGUCGAGCGGUAAGGCCCUUUCGGGGGUACACGAGCGGCGAACGGGUGAGUAACACGUGGGUGACCUGCCCUUAGCUCUGGGAUAAGCCUGGGAAACUGGGUCUAAUACCGGAUAUGACUCCAUAACGCAUGUUGUGGGGUGGAAAGCCUUGUGCGGCUAGGGAUGGGCCCGCGGCCUAUCAGCUUGUUGGUGGGGUGAUGGCCACCAAGGCGACGACGGGUAGCCGGCCUGAGAGGGCG
This 272-nucleotide ribosomal RNA is filed under the name uncultured bacterium. RNAcentral's name for it is "partial 16S ribosomal RNA". It matches the Rfam family "Bacterial small subunit ribosomal RNA", at positions 28 to 302 of the family's 1533-position model. The record is from RNAcentral.